This 431-nucleotide ribosomal RNA is filed under the name uncultured bacterium. RNAcentral's name for it is "bacterial SSU rRNA". It matches the Rfam family "Bacterial small subunit ribosomal RNA", at positions 29 to 506 of the family's 1533-position model. The record is from RNAcentral.
ACGAACGCUGGCGGCAUGCCUAACACAUGCAAGUCGAACGAGACCUUCGGGUCUAGUGGCGCACGGGUGCGUAACGCGUGGGAACCUGCCCUUAGGUUCGGAAUAACUCAGAGAAAUUUGAGCUAAUACCGGAUAAUGUCUUCGGACCAAAGAUUUAUCGCCUUUGGAUGGGCCCGCGUAGGAUUAGCUUGUUGGUGGGGUAAUGGCCUACCAAGGCGACGAUCCUUAGCUGGUCUGAGAGGAUGAUCAGCCACACUGGGACUGAGACACGGUCCAGACUCCUACGGGAGGCAGCGGUGGGGAAUAUUGGACAAUGGGCGAAAGCCUGAUCCAGCAAUGCCGCGUGAGUGAUGAAGGCCUUAGGGUUGUAAAGCUCUUUUACCAGGGAUGAUAAUGACAGUACCUGGAGAAUAAGCUCCGGCUAACUCCGU